AUGGCCUUGGGCAGGGCACACCCUCUCAGCCUCAGGGGGUCCCCAAAGCCCCCCCCCACCGUCAGAACCCCCGCCCCGCCACAAUCCCUCCUCACAGCCAGGCCCCCCGCCUCCCCCUGCCCCCCAUUGAGCCUAGAUCGUUUUCCCUACCGCGCCCCCUUACCCUGCUCAAUGAAUUCAAGGAGCCAAGGACCCCUGCACCCCAGGCGCCCCCUGUGGGCGUUCAAUGAGCGAUGGGGCGAAGAGGCCAAAAACAAAAGGGCCAUCAUCGAGGCCAGAAGAGAGGAGGCCGCCCAGGCCCCAGCCCCAUCCCGCCUGGUUCGGGCCCGGUUGUUCCCCGCUCUCGGGGAGGCCGGGCCCGGGCCUCAGGCGGGAAAUCAGCGGCCCGCUGGCCCUAAGAAACACGGCCCGCUGAAGCCCUUCUUGGGGCGGAACGAGCCGGAGGGGGCGCUGCCGGUCCUCCCUGUCCCGGGGGCACCCUCAGGCAGGGCCAGGGCCGGGCCUCCACGAAGGGGGCAUCCGCGCCGGCAGGAAGGUCCCCCGGGUCCACUGGCGAGGAGGGAGCCUGAGGGGGCGCUGCCCUCCCUCCACCUGCCCCCUCCCGCCCCGGAGGCCCCUCCUCGUCAGGACCCCAUCCACAUCAGGGACCCCCAGGGGCGCUUCCUUCCCGACAUCUGGCCGCCCCUCCUGGCUCCUCGCCCACCCUGGCUCCCGCCCAAAAUGCCUGACCGGAGAUACGGGGCUGAUGGCCUUGGAAGAAGGAGAUGCCGAUACCUUAAAACGCCGUGUAGUGGAACUACUGCUUCAGAACCCCCAAGGCAUCAGGUUUGAGAAUUUUUCUGGGGCCUUCCAUCAGCUGCAUGGUUACUACCCUCGUAUUGCUCUUCAGGGAUAUCAUAAGCUCAAGGAAUUAUUGGCUGAUAUGAAGAAUGCUGUGGUUGUGGAAAGGCGUUCACGGCAACAAGUUAUGAAGAUUGCAGAGGGCUUCUGCCUUGACCUUUCGUUGGAAGGAGAAAAAGGGAAUGGAUUGGAAACAUCCGAAAGAGAAGUGGAGAACCUGCGAGAUGAAGACCAAGUUGGAGGAAAAACAAGUAAAUGCAGCCAAAUUUGGAUCCUGGCAGCCCAAUUUAGUUGGAAUGAUAUUGUAUGUGAUUUUCAGAUGGCGCAUCUACAGCAUAGAACUAGUACAGUUUGACACCUCUUUAAUUGCCAUGACUGGCCGCAGUGGUGCAGUGGGUUAAACUCUUGUGCCAGUUUGACGGCUGACCUGAAGGUUGGGUUGCUCACCUGAAGGUUGUUGAUUCAAAUCUGCAAGACGGAGUGAGCUCCCGUCUGGCAGCUCUAGCUUGUGAGAACAUGAGAGAGACCUCCCAGCCAGGGCAUCCCUUGGGCAGUGUCUCUGUAGAUGGCCAAUUCUCUCACACCAGUAGCGACUUACAGUAUGUUCUCAAGUCACUUCUGACACGAUUUAAAAAAAUGUGUAUGCAUAAGGUUUUGGCAUGGUAUAAUUCAUAAUUGUAUGCAGAUGGUUAUCUUUGUUUUCAGAAUAGGUGUCCUGAUUGCCUAAAUUACUGUCAUCAUAGUGUCUCUGGCCUGACAGAAGAAAGGAGAGGGCAUGCGCCAGCAUGGUAGUAUAAGCAGCCACCAUCUGGGUACAUCUACACUGUAGAAUUAAUGCAGUGUAAUACCACUUUAAUUAUUAUGGCCCAAUGCUAUGCCUUCCUGGUAUUUGUAACUUGCUGAGGAACUAGACUUUUUGUCAGCCAAUGCUAAACACCUUAUAAAACUGAAACUCACAGGAUUCCAUAACAAAGAGUUGUGACAGUUAAAAUGGUGUCAAACUGCAUUGAUUUGAGAGUAAAAAUGCAUCCCAAAAAGGAACUUUUGGAUAUUGUGUGUGGAUUAAUUGAUGAGAGAGAGAUAUCAGCAAGGGCUCCAGCAAGGAUCCACUACUGUGCCACUCUGCACUUUAAUUUGUUACUUCAGAUAGGAAGUUUUAUCCGCAGGUUCUACUGCAUUUUAGGAAAUAUUAUAAUUUUAUAAUUCUUACAAUGUUAUGUGCCUUGUUAUUUUUAUAUUGAUGUCACUGUGUAUAUACUUAUGUAUUGUUGUUUAUAUGUGGCACUUGGAGAACUUCUGUGAGUCACCCCCAGUCCCUUCAGGGAAAUGGAGGCGGGCUAUAAAUAAAAAUAUAUUGAUUGUUAUUACUAUAUAGAAUGUCUGCAGACACUCCAGUUGGGAUCUAAGUUAGGGAAGAAUUCAUUCAUUAUUGGCUAAGCUCCUGGGGGUGCCCAUGUCCAUAUGACAAACAAUAAUAACAAGUGGAAUAUUGAGUUGAGAUCCACGUUUGUAGGCAUUUUGAUUUAUGACUUGUUCUUUUUGUAGCUCUUACAGACAUCUUGGAUUGGCUCAUCAGCCUCCUAAUGGAGUACAAAUCGGGACUGAGAAUUAGCUACAUCAAGAAAUUCAUGCUAUCCAAGCAUGCAGUGAACAUGGAAAAGUUCAGCAUUGCCCAAGGCUACAAGAACAUCAUGGAAUUCUUGGAACAUGAACUGCCAAAGCUAAUAGUCAGAUAUCGAGAGAAACCCCGUGAAUAUGUUGUACAGAUUCCUGAAGGUACAAAUAAUACUGGAUUAUGUGGAGGGGAGGAAUUAGUGCAGUGUCGCGAUUAGAGUUUUGGACGAGGACUCCAGGAGUUCAGGGUUUGAAUCCCCAUUCAGCCAUAGAAAAGUCUAGGUCAGUGGUUCUCAACCUGUGGGUCCCCAGUUGUUUUGGCCUUCAGCUCCCAAAAAUCCUAACAGCAGGUAAACUGGCUGGGAUUUCUGGGAGUUGUAGGCCAAAACACCUGGGGACCCACCGGUUGAGAUCCACUGAUCUAGCUGAUCUCCCUCUGAGGUUCCAAGGAAGAGAAUGGCAGACUUCUGGAUAAGUCUUGCCAAGAAACCCUAUGAUAGGUUCACCACAAUUCAGAAUCAACCUGAACGACAACAUUUGUGGAGGGGAGGGGUUGGUUACAGUUUUCAAAGAGCAUUUAGAUUAUAAAUUUAAAAAGUUGUUAAUAAACAAUGCCAUAUGGAUAGUUUCAACUCAGGGAUGCUAUGAAAACUGGAUCAUCUUUGUAAUCUAAGCCUACCAAGCCUUGCCAAAAGUUUUAUUGUUGACACACCUUGAGAAAAUGGUUUGUUCCUUAUGACCAGGACACAAAGUGUUGUUGCAAAUCUCCACUAAAUCGCAGAGAGCUUGAGUCAACAUUUUAUCAAUUGCUACAGAAUCAGUCAAAUUCAUGGAUUGGCCACUUUAAUAUUUCUGUUAACUAUCUUCAUAAUGUUUAUGAAGAGUGAAAAUAUUUUAUUAAGGAGUCAACAGAUACUAUGAAUCAAAUAAGGUUUCAUUGUGUUCUGUGGAAGCAGGCAGGUCUGUUUCACAUUAUGUAACUGUUUGUAAUUUUUGUCAGAUCUCCUUGACUCAGAUCUGUCUCUGGACUCAGAUUUCUCUACAUCGAGCUCACAAUCUUCAACCCAGGAUCUAACAAGAACAAACUCUGGUAAGAUUGUCUUGGAUUCUGGGUCACAUAGUAACUACCAUAUGUCCUGCAGUUGACCCAUUCAGGACAUGAUAUUUCUGGGAGGGCUUGAGGUUUUAAAUCUCACAGUGAGGUCAGAGUUACAUUGGAUAUCUCUUUUGACGUAAGGCAUUAGAAGUAAGCAGUUUUAGAACUGAUCAUCAGUGUCCAAACUGAAUCAGAACUAAACUUCCAGAAUGCCCUGGCUGGGACUGCCACUGAUCGUGCUGGCAGAAGGUUCUGGGAAUGGUAGUCCAAACACUAAUCAUAAGUGUUUUUCAAGGCUUUUAUGGCCGGAAUCACUGGGUUGCUGUGAGUUUUUCGGGCUGACAGGCAUCCUCGGAGAUGUGAGGUCUGUUGGAAACUAGGAAAAUGGGAUUUAUGUAUCUGUAAAGAGCCCAGGUUGAAAGAAAGAACUCUUGUCUGUUUGAGGCAUGUGAAAAUGUUGCAGUUGAUCACCUUGAUUAGCAUUUAAUGGCCUUGAAGCUUCAAAGCCUGGCUGUGUCUUGCCUGAGGUAAUACUUUGUUGGGAGGUGUUAGUUGGCCCUGAUCAUUUCAUGUUGGGAAUUCUCCUGGAGUGUCCGGAGUUCCCCUGUUUUCAGAAUAAUUUGAACACA
This 4179-nucleotide long non-coding RNA is filed under the name Anolis carolinensis (green anole). RNAcentral's name for it is "lncRNA (ENSACAG00000043529.1)". The record is from RNAcentral. Lineage: Eukaryota; Metazoa; Chordata; Lepidosauria; Squamata; Anolidae.